ACAUACGAUUGACCGACUCUGUAAACGCGCGCACAACUAUAAUUACGUACACCUAUACAAAUGAAAGAAUUGACGCGAGUGUGCGCGUGUAACUCUUCGAUGCGUGACGUGUACAACUGAAUAAUGACUUUGACUCUGGACUCACAUCACUCGCACGAAUGAAAAUGUGAGCUUGGGGCCGGCGUACGGAAGAACACCGUCGACCAGCCAACUGUCCCGGGCUUUAAAAAGCUAGAAUCACCUCGAGGCUGGAGGAUUUCGCAGCUUAUAUGCGAGUGACGAGUCUGCGGGACGAGUAAUUACAUUGGCCGGCGACGAGAGUGGUCUCGAAUUGUUUCUGUCGUUGGUUGGAACGUCUCCCGACUUUCACAGAGCCAACUAACGAGGAGACGACGCAAAACAAGAAUCGGAGCUAUAAAAUGACGAUGACGAAGAAGAAAAAGAAUACUCCGACAAUAAAAUGGAACGAGGGCCGACGAAUGUUUCUCCCCGACUUCUUUU
Molecule: unclassified non-coding RNA, 501 nt
Filed under: Athalia rosae (coleseed sawfly)
Lineage: Eukaryota; Metazoa; Arthropoda; Insecta; Hymenoptera; Athaliidae
Description: misc RNA ENSAEAG00005012217.1
Source: RNAcentral